AUUGAACGCUGGCGGCAGGCCUAACACAUGCAAGUCGAACGAGUGGCGGACGGGUGAGUAAUGUCUGGGAAACUGCCCGAUGGAGGGGGAUAACUACUGGAAACGGUAGCUAAUACCGCAUACCAUCGGAUGUGCCCAGAUGGGAUUAGCUAGUAGGUGGGGUAACGGCUCACCUAGGCGACGAUCCCUAGCUGGUCUGAGAGGAUGACAAGCAACACUGGAACGGAGACACGGUCCAGACUCUGACGGUAGGACGCAGGGGGGAAUAUUGCACAAUGGGCGAAAGUCUGAGGCGGCCAUGCCGCGUGGAUGAAGAAGGCUUUCGGGUUGUAAAGUACUUUCAGCGAGGAGGCGUUACUCGAGGAAGAAGCACCGGCUAACUCCGGGCGAGCAGCGGCGGUAAUAC
RNAcentral lists this ribosomal RNA (406 nucleotides) under uncultured bacterium. RNAcentral describes it as "partial 16S ribosomal RNA". It matches the Rfam family "Bacterial small subunit ribosomal RNA", at positions 29 to 526 of the family's 1533-position model. The record is from RNAcentral.